GAGGGGACAGCGGGGCGGGCGGGCGGCUCUUCGCGGCGCUCCCCCCAUGGCGGUACCUGCGCUCGAAGUCGGUCCGGAAGGGCGUCAGGUCUUUCCUAAAAUCCCAGAGAAAUGGUUUUACCUAGGGUGUUUCUCUUAGACUGGCUGCAUAGUCUCACAUUCCUGCCUGAAGCACUGCAGACGUUUAGGCUGCCUCGCCUUUCACUCAGACAAGAAAGUGAGAUUGCCACAUAAUCGUUCAGAGGGUAACACAUCUAAUCCUUCGGGAGGUCAAGUGAGAUGAGGAGAAAGGAGGAGAUGCAUAGUGCUAAUGCUCUGGCAGCUCUGUCAAUUCGUUAGUAUAUGUGGAACUAUUUUAGUUUUCAAAAAACAGAAUAGUACCUAAGUUGCAUUCAUGAAUUUGUGUACUGAGCUCACUGCAGGGAAAAGCGGGAGAAUCUGGUGCAAACUGUGUGUGAAGGGCAGAACUUUUGGAAGUUCAAAAUCCUUUCCACAGACAGUCUUUUAGAUCUUGUCAGCAUCAGUUCUGAUUUACUUUUGCAGUUGGUGGCAGUUGAUCCAGGCGGUUCUUAGGUGUAACCAGUAGUGUUUUGAAUGAACAGAAAGAUGGGACAGUUCUUUAGUGCUACACUCAAAAUCUUGCUCUAGUCAGAACACCAUACAUAGAACUAAGAAUUUGCUAAAAGCCUCACUUUUCUGAUGCUAUAGUCACCCUUCCACAAUGUGCCUCUAGGUCCUGAGCUUGGCAGUCUUCCUGAUGCAGAUGAUUGAGGGGGCUUGCUUUAGGACAAGUCUUCAGCCCCUGAGGUCUUCAUGAGAAGAACAAUGAUGUUCCUGUUACAGGAUUCUAAUUCCUCAGUCUGGGCUGCACACAGUUAAAAUACUGAAUUACUCUUAAAAUCCAUGAUUUAUCUUUUGCUUCUUGACCUAUGGACUCCUUCAGCUCUCUCCUCAGUAACUCCUGUGUUGUCAUCUGAUUCAACACGUGCACGAGGAAAACUUACAGAGGGAGCUGAGUCAUUCUCUAAAUCGGGACCAACCUCCUCUGAACACAAAGUGCCCUCUGCAGCACU
Corapipo altera (White-ruffed manakin) is the source of this 1073-nucleotide long non-coding RNA. RefSeq lists it as uncharacterized. The transcript has 4 exons. Lineage: Eukaryota; Metazoa; Chordata; Aves; Passeriformes; Pipridae. The record is from RefSeq and is a predicted model, not a curated record.